GACGAACGCUGGCGGCGUGCUUAACACAUGCAAGUCGAGCGGAAAGGCCCUUCGGGGUACUCGAGCGGCGAACGGGUGAGUAACACGUGAGCAACCUGCCCUUGGCUUUGGGAUAACCCCGGGAAACCGGGGCUAAUACCGGAUGUUCACUGCUGGACGCAUGUUUGGUGGUGGAAAGAUUUUUCGGCCAGGGAUGGGCUCGCGGCCUAUCAGCUUGUUGGUGGGGUGAUGGCCUACCAAGGCGACGACGGGUAGCCGGCCUGAGAGGGCGACCGGCCACACUGGGACUGAGACACGGCCCAGACUCCUACGGGAGGCAGCAGUGGGGAAUAUUGCACAAUGGGCGGAAGCCUGAUGCAGCGACGCCGCGUGAGGGAUGACGGCCUUCGGGUUGUAAACCUCUUUCAGCUCCGACGAAGCGAAAGUGACGGUAGGGGCAGAAGAAGCGCCGGCCAACUACGUGCCAGCAGCCGCAGUAACAC
This 482-nucleotide ribosomal RNA is filed under the name uncultured bacterium. RNAcentral describes it as "bacterial SSU rRNA". It matches the Rfam family "Bacterial small subunit ribosomal RNA", at positions 28 to 526 of the family's 1533-position model. The record is from RNAcentral.